This 385-nucleotide ribosomal RNA is filed under the name uncultured Cellulomonas sp. RNAcentral's name for it is "bacterial SSU rRNA". It matches the Rfam family "Bacterial small subunit ribosomal RNA", at positions 994 to 1382 of the family's 1533-position model. Lineage: Bacteria; Bacillati; Actinomycetota; Actinomycetes; Micrococcales; Cellulomonadaceae. The record is from RNAcentral.
UAACGCCCAGAGAUGGGUGCCCCCUUUGUGGUCGGUGCCAGGUGGUGCAUGGUUGUCGUCAGCUCGUGUCGUGAGAUGUUGGGUUAAGUCCCGCAACGAGCGCAACCCUCGUCCUAUGUUGCCAGCGGGUCAUGCCGGGGACUCAUGGGAGACUGCCGGGGUCAACUCGGAGGAAGUGGGAUGACGUCAAAUCAUCAUGCCCCUUAUGUCUUGGGCUUCACGCAUGCUACAAUGGCCGGUACAAAGGGCUGCGAUACCGCGAGGUGGAGCGAAUCCCAGAAAGCCGGUCUCAGUUCGGAUUGGGGUCUGCAACUCGACCCCAUGAAGUCGGAGUCGCUAGUAAUCGCAGAUCAGCAACGCUGCGGUGAAUACGUUCCCGGGCCUU